RNAcentral lists this ribosomal RNA (460 nucleotides) under uncultured bacterium. RNAcentral describes it as "partial 16S ribosomal RNA". It matches the Rfam family "Bacterial small subunit ribosomal RNA", at positions 338 to 795 of the family's 1533-position model. The record is from RNAcentral.
CCUACGGGAGGCAGCAGUGAGGAAUAUUGGUCAAUGGGCGCGAGCCUGAACCAGCCAAGUAGCGUGAAGGAUGACUGCCCUACGGGUUGUAAACUUCUUUUAUAAAGGAAUAAAGUGAGGCACGUGUGCCUUUUUGUAUGUACUUUAUGAAUAAGGAUCGGCUAACUCCGUGCCAGCAGCCGCGGUAAUACGGAGGAUCCGAGCGUUAUCCGGAUUUAUUGGGUUUAAAGGGAGCGUAGAUGGGUUGUUAAGUCAGUUGUGAAAGUUUGCGGCUCAACCGUAAAAUUGCAAUUGAUAGUGGCGGUCUGGAGUACGGUAGAGGUAGGCGGAAUGCGUGGUGUAGCGGUGAAAUGCUGAGAUACCACGAAGAACUCCGAUUGCGAAGGCAGCUUACAAGACGGCCACUGACGUUGAUGCACGAAAGUGUGGGUAUCAAACAGGAUUAGAUACCCGGGUAGUC